GACGAACGCUGGCGGCGUGCUUAACACAUGCAAGUCGAACGAUGAAAGUGGAGCUUGCUCCGCUGGAUUAGUGGCGAACGGGUGAGUAACACCUGGGCAACCUGCCCCCCACUCUGGGAUAACUCCUCGCAAGAGGUGCUAAUACCGGAUACGAACCCCUUGGGCCUCCAUCGAAUGGGCACGUUUUUCGGUCUGGGAUGGGACCGCGGCCUAUCAGCUUGUUGGUGGGGUAGUGGCCCACCAAGGCGACGACGGGUAGCCGGCCUGAGAGGGCGACCGGCCACACUGGGGCUGAGACACGGCCCAGACUCCUACGGGAGGCAGCAGUGGGGAAUAUUGCGCAAUGGGCGAAAGCCUGACGCAGCGACGCCGCGUGAGGGAUGACGGCCUUCGGGUUGUAAACCUCUUUCAGCAGGGAAGAAGCGAAAGUGACGGUACCUGCAGAAGAAGCACCGGCUAACUACGUGCCAGCCGCCGCGUAA
This 482-nucleotide ribosomal RNA is filed under the name uncultured bacterium. RNAcentral's name for it is "partial 16S ribosomal RNA". It matches the Rfam family "Bacterial small subunit ribosomal RNA", at positions 28 to 522 of the family's 1533-position model. The record is from RNAcentral.